Molecule: non-coding RNA, 470 nt
Organism: Pelobates cultripes (western spadefoot toad)
Lineage: Eukaryota; Metazoa; Chordata; Amphibia; Anura; Pelobatidae
Source: the annotation of a GenBank genome assembly
GUUAGGGGUAGGGUUAGGAGUAGUGUUAGGGGUAGGGUUAGGGUAGGGUUAGGGUUAGGUUAGGGUAGGGUUAGGGUUAGGUUAGGGUUAGGUUAGGAGUAGGGCUAGGGUUGGGUUAGGAGUAGGAGUAGGGUUAGGGUAGGGUUAUGAGCAGGGUUAAGGGUAGGGCUGGGUUAGGAGUAGGGUUAGGGUAGGGUUAGGAGUAGGGUUAGGGUUGGGCUAGGAGUAGGGCUUGGGUAUGGUUAGGAGUAAGGAUAGGGGUAGGGUUUGGGUUAGGGUUGGGUAAAGAGCAGGGUUAGGGUUAGGGUUGGGUUAGGAGUAGAGUUAGGGUUGGGUGUAGGAUUAGGGUUAGCGCAAUUGAUUGGUUGAUUUCAAUUCACUUUGGUGUUUGCUUUAUCAAAGUGGAGGGAUUCUUGAUUAUUAUACCACCUUUAUUUAUCUUUGGGUGUUUUGCAUGUAUUUUGGGUGCU